Non-coding RNA from Brachypodium distachyon (stiff brome), 136 nucleotides. The record is from Rfam. NCBI's taxonomy places the organism in Eukaryota, Viridiplantae, Streptophyta, Magnoliopsida, Poales, Poaceae.
CUUAUACUCCUUCCGUCCAACAAAAGAUGUCUUAAGCUUGUCAAAAUUUGGAUGUAUGUAGAUAUGACUUAGUGUAUAGAUGCAUUCAAAUUUGGUCAAACUUGAGACAUUAUUUGUUGGACGGAGGAAGUAGAAA